Molecule: non-coding RNA, 135 nt
Organism: Triticum aestivum (bread wheat)
Lineage: Eukaryota; Viridiplantae; Streptophyta; Magnoliopsida; Poales; Poaceae
Source: Rfam
UUUAUACUCCCUCCGUCCCAAAAUUCUUGUCUUAGAUUUGUCUAGAUACGGAUGUAUCUAAUACUAAAACGUGACUUGAUAUAUCGAUAUUUAGAUAAAUCUAAGACAAAAAUUUUGGGACGAAGGGAGUAACAA